GGGGGAUGCGAGCGUUAUCCGGAAUGACUGGGCGUAAAGCGUUUGUAGGUGAUCUUCUAAGUCUUGGUUUAAAUCAUAAAGCUUAACUUUUAAAAGAGCCAAGAUACUGGUUGAAUAGAGUGAAAUUGAGGUAUUUGGGGGAAUUCUUAGAGGAAUAGUAAAAUGUAACGAUACUAAGAUGAAGACCGAAGGCGAAGGCGUCAUACUAAAUUUUAACUGACACUCAAGGACGAAAGCUAGGGGAGCAAAUGGGAUUAGAGACCCCAGUAGUCUUAGCAGUAGACGAUGAGUACUAGAUGUUGGACGCACGGUAAUAUAUAAUCUAUUUAUCUACUCGUUCGGUAUCUAAGCUAACGCAAUAAGUACUCCGCCUGAGGAGUACGCUCGCAAGGGUGAAACUCAAAGGAAUUGACGGGGGCUCGUACAAGCGGCGGAGCAUGUGGUUUAAUUUGAUGCAAAGCAAAAAAUCUUACCAGAGCUUGAAGUUGAAAUUUUCAAAUUUAAUCGAUUUGAAAAGCCAUAAAUUGGCAAAAACGAGGUGGUGCAUGGCUGUCGUCAGCUCGUGUCGUGAGACGUUGGGUUAAUUCCCUUAACGAGCGCAACCCUUGUCAUAAGUUCUUUUGUCUUAUGAGAAGGCUCGAUUCGUCGAGAUUAAGAGGAGGAUGACGUCAAGUCAUCAUGCCCUUUAUGCUCUGGGCUACACACGUGCUACAAUGGUCGUUACAAUAAGUACUGAAGAAAAAAACGUAUAACGAUUAUACGUUUAAUUUUAACGUAAGUAUGAAAAUAUUUACAAAUCUUUAAAAGCGUAGCCCUAAUAUGAAUCGUGGACUGAAACUCGUCCACGUCAAACCGGAGUCGCUAGUAAUCGCCGGUCACCAUUACGGCGGUGAAUACGUAACCGAGCCUUGUACACACCGCCCGUCACACCCUGGGAAUUUAGGCUUUUUGAAACAUCUGCAGUGGGUGCGAUUAAGGAUUGGGUAACUGGGGUG
This 995-nucleotide ribosomal RNA is filed under the name Chromera velia. RNAcentral describes it as "SSU rRNA". It matches the Rfam family "Bacterial small subunit ribosomal RNA", at positions 527 to 1482 of the family's 1533-position model. Lineage: Eukaryota; Chromeraceae. The record is from RNAcentral.